CAAUAGCGUAUAUUUAAGUUGCUGCAGUUAAAAAGCUCGUAGUUGGAUUUCGGGUGGGAAUGGCCGGUCCGCCGUUUCGGUGUGCACUUGCUACGCCCACCUUGCUGCCGGGGACGUGCUCUUGAGUUCACGCUCGGGACACGGAGUCGGCGAGGUUACUUUGAGUAAAUUAGAGUGUUCAAAGCAGGCUUACGCCGUUGAAUAUAUUAGCAUGGAAUAAUAAGAUAGGACCUUGGUACUAUUUUGUUGGUUUGCGCACCGAGGUAAUGAUUAAUAGGGACAGUUGGGGGUAUUCGUAUUCCAUUGUCAGAGGUGAAAUUCUUGGAUUUCUGGAAGACGAACUACUGCGAAAGCAUUUACCAAGGAUGUUUUCAUUAA
This 378-nucleotide ribosomal RNA is filed under the name uncultured eukaryote. RNAcentral's name for it is "partial 18S ribosomal RNA". It matches the Rfam family "Eukaryotic small subunit ribosomal RNA", at positions 592 to 976 of the family's 1831-position model. The record is from RNAcentral.